Molecule: ribosomal RNA, 720 nt
Filed under: uncultured anaerobic ammonium-oxidizing bacterium
Lineage: Bacteria
Description: bacterial SSU rRNA
Rfam family: Bacterial small subunit ribosomal RNA
Source: RNAcentral
GAGCACGUAGGUGGGUUUGUAAGUCAGAUGUGAAAGCCUUCUGUUCAACGGAAGAAUUGCAUCUGUAACUGCGAGUCUUGAGUGUAGGAGGGGAGAAUGGAACUUCUGGUGGAGCGGUGAAAUGCGUAGAUAUCAGAAGGAACGCCGGCGGCGAAAGCGAUUCUCUGGCCUAUUACUGACACUCAGUGUGCGAAAGCUAGGGGAGCAAACGGGAUUAGAUACCCCGGUAGUCCUAGCCGUAAACGAUGGGCACUAAGUAGAGGGAAUUACCGAUAUUCUCUCUGCCGUAGCUAACGCAUUAAGUGCCCCGCCUGGGGAGUACGGCCGCAAGGCUAAAACUCAAAAGAAUUGACGGGGGCUCGCACAAGCGGUGGAGCAUGUGGCUUAAUUCGAUGCAACGCGAAAAACCUUACCGGGGCUUGACAUGGUAGAAGUAGGAACCCGAAAGGGUAACGAACGGUAUCCAGUCCGUAGCUAUCACAGGUGUUGCAUGGCUGUCGUCAGCUCGUGUCGUGAGACGUUGGGUUAAGUCCCCUAACGAGCGAAACCCUUGUUUUUAGUUACCAGCGGGUUGUGCCGGGUACUCUAGAAAGACUGCCGUCGUCAAGACGGAGGAAGGUGGGGAUGACGUCAAGUCAUCAUGGCCCUUAUGCCCCGGGCUGCACACGUGCUACAAUGGUCGGUACAAACAGAUGCGAAGCCGAGAGGUGAAGCGAAUCC